CUGCUGAAGUCAGAUAGCUUUGAUAAUGAGUAAGGAUGGUAGAUAGACAUUGAGCUGCUGAAGUCAGAUAGCUGGUUUGAUGAGUAAGGAUGGUAGACAUUAUUGAGCUGCUGAAGUCAGAUAGCUGGUUUGAUGAGUAAGGGUGAUAGACAUUGGGCUGCUGAAGUCAGAUAGCUGGGUUAAUGAGUAAGGGUGAUAGACAUUGGGCUGCUGAAGUCAGAUAGCUUUGAUAAUGAGUAAGGGUGAUAGACAUUGGGCUGCUGAAGUCAGAUAGCUGGGUUAAUGAGUAAGGGUGAUAGACAUUGGGCUGCUGAAGUCAGAUAGCUGGUUUGAUGAGUAAGGAUGGUAGACAUUAUUGAGCUGCUGAAGUCAGAUAGCUGGUUUGAUGGGUAAGGAUGGCAGACAUUGAACUGCUAAAGUGUGUGUAUCAUGUAUCAUGCAUCAUGCAUCAGGUGUCAUUGUCAUCCAUCAUUGCUUUGAGAGAAACAUCACAUGCAAGACACGGCCUGUUGACUGUUUCAAUAUGAAAUUUAAAAAAGCUUCCAGUUAAUUGAUUUGAGACUGACUUGUUUUGACUGUAAUGCUGCACCAAAUUAUGCUGUCUGCUCCAAAACAUUUGGAGACCACUUGCCUGAACAUGAAUCAAAUAAUCAUUGUCACCGGAUUUUACUGUUUUAUGAACUAUUCUAGCUGAGCGGGUUUAGUUUUACGCCACACUCAGCAAUAUUCCAGCUAUAUGGGGUCUGUAAAUAAUCAAAUCUGGACCAGACAAUCCAGUGAUCAACAGUUUGAGCAUCGCUCUAUGCAACUGGGAUACGAUGACAUGUGUCAGCGAGCCUGACCACCCAAUCACGUUACGACAAGCAUGGGUUACUGAAGAUCAGGUUACUGGACCAACCAGAACUUUUCUGGACAAGUGUAUAAAGUUGCAAACUAAAAUGGAUUAUUGAUAUGUGCAUGGAUAAUGGAUGUGUGGAUGGACCACUCACUGCAAGAUGAGGGCACCUGUUGGGCCAAUGAGGAAACAGCAUCUGUCAGUGAGACUAGACAGGAGGUCAAUAACCAUGUUAUCGACCAUCUUCUCUACAACAUACAGCUUUUAUGCUUUAUGGUCUGUGACAGUUGUGAUCCACUGUAUUCAUUGGAUGAGAACAUUUGUGUAUCAUUGAUAUGUUCAAUAAAACAUAAAACAU
Molecule: long non-coding RNA, 1193 nt
Organism: Haliotis rubra (blacklip abalone)
Lineage: Eukaryota; Metazoa; Mollusca; Gastropoda; Lepetellida; Haliotidae
Exons: 2
Source: RefSeq, a predicted model, not a curated record